Molecule: microRNA precursor, 62 nt
Filed under: Homo sapiens (human)
Lineage: Eukaryota; Metazoa; Chordata; Mammalia; Primates; Hominidae
Description: miAB24_pre
Source: RNAcentral
CCUGGGGAGAGGAGGGGACCAGGGCUGUGAAUUACCUUCCCUUCCCCACCCUCUCCUGCAGC